CCAUCUAUGUGCAUGAUGUCACCACUUUGUGCAAAUUUGCAUUUUUUAAUUUAUUUUUUAUUUUUUGCAUUUUUUGUUUACGUAGAUAUAAUAGAGGUAUAAUUUAAAAAAAAAAAAUCACUUUAAAUAGUUAGCAUUUUCUUGCCCCCAAAAUGCUAUUGGCAUAUCAUUGAAUGGCCAAAAAGCAUAAGUUAUUUUCCAUUUAAAACAGUGUUGUGUAAAUGCCCAGUAAAACAGAGGCUGGUACUCUUUUAGCACAUUUGGAGCUCAUCGGAUUGUCAGCAAUAAAAGGGAUAGCUGAUGGUAUUAUAGCAAAAUAAACCCCUGGGCAAUUUCAUCCAAUGUAUGGAAGUUAAUUUACACAUUUUCCAGAACAAACAAACAAAUAAAUAAAUAAAUAACAGAAAUGGUUUGAGUAUGUAAUUGCUAUGUAUGUGUAUGUCUUUUUACUAUAUAUUAUUAUAAUGUUUUUUGUACUCUUGUUUUGUAGUUCUGUAGUUUGUAGUUUGUUCUGCUCCUGUUUUCUUAGUCUUGUUUGUAUUCAACUGUGUCUAGUUAUCUGUGUGUCCCUUGUUCUACUUCUAUGACAGUUUGGUUAUUAUUGUCAUUUAAUGGACCCCGAAGCUCUAUUACUUAGUGGAUUGCCAUUUAUGGUAACCCCAGAGUCACAUCAACAGCGUCAUGCACUUAUUAUUUUCCAGCAUUAUGCACUUAUUAUUACGCUUGUCAUGUGACACACAGCAGUAGGCUUAUGUUUUACUUAAUUUUUCCUUUUUUAUUAAAAAUAUUCCCAAACGUGUUAACAACAUCAUGAAAUAUCUAUGUGUGUGUGAUGGGCAAAGUAGCCUAAUGUUAGUGUAAUCAAUUAGCUACGCCGUCUUUUUACUUAAAGGGGUCAUCGGAUGCCCAUUUUCCACAAGUUGUUGUGAUUCUUUAGGGUCUUAAUGAAAAGUCUAUAACAUACUUUGGUUAAAAUUUCUCAAUGGUAGUCAAAACCUGUCAAAAACUGCUCUGUUCACAGCAAUCAGUUUAUAUCGCAUGUGCCUUUAAAUUCUAAUGAGCUCUGCUCACCCCGCCCCUCUCUUCCGUGGGGAGACAAGCCAUUCUCUCAUAGAGACUGUGAACUUUAACCGCAUUCUUCAUGAAACUUGCUAAUUAACACAUUAUUAGGAGAGGAGAUUUGCAAAGAUCCAUAAAAAACCUUAUACUCACUUCUUUUGUAGGUGAAGCUGGAUCACGAAUGAUUCGCGUGAACAUAAAUGCAUUUAGGUACACUCUAAAAAAAGUUGGCUCUUUAAAGGUUAUUCACAUGUAGUAACGGUUAUAUUUAGAACCAUAGCAUCCUGAAGAACCCUUUUAUGCUGAAAUGGUUCUUUGUGUUAGAGUUUAGGGUUCUUUAUUCCUGCCCUUUUGUUUUUCAAAUCUGUAACUGCACUGUCAAAGCACCUCAUUACUGAUUUCCAGGAGUUCAGUGAUACAACUACACAGACUGUCAACACACUCUCAACAGUUUUUUGGUCACAUGUAAAUGUGAGCAGCUCAUUUAAGCUGAGGAUACUUCUCUCCUCUUCUCCACUAAAUGCAUCACGUCCCACAACCUCAUCAUCUGCAGAUUAACUGCCACUCAGUCACACCAUAAUGAUGGACUUAAAGGCAUAUGAAAAUAUUUCACUGGAACUUGGUCUUCACCACAUCUAUUUUUUGUUUUUAUUUUGUUUUACUUCUUUGUGUAUUUAUUCAUGUUCAUUUUCAAUUGUCAUUUUUUUAUGUAUUCCGCUAAUAACUGUUGUUAAGAGCACGGACAUAUCAAUAUUACGUCAA
Long non-coding RNA from Onychostoma macrolepis, 1821 nucleotides. RefSeq lists it as uncharacterized. NCBI's taxonomy places the organism in Eukaryota, Metazoa, Chordata, Actinopteri, Cypriniformes, Cyprinidae. The record is from RefSeq and is a predicted model, not a curated record. The transcript has 3 exons.